GGGGGCGAUCGGCUUCGACGGGGAGAAAGAAGGAACGGUUGCGUGCACGCCGACCUGGGCAAGGCGCAAAAACGCCCAGGACGUACAACUGCCAACGAUAACGCAGUCGCUCUCGCGGCCUAAGGGUCGAUAGAGGGCCGUCGAAACGAAGAGGCCGCCUGUGCUCUUCGUGGAGGCGUCAUUUGAACAGGCUAGCUCACGAGGCCUCGUAGCGGGCGCGUGAGCGAAGCCUUCGCUACUAGCGACGCGGAGAGCCUGCUCAUGGGCGCGACGCGAAGCGAACCUUCAAGUCCAUGAGCUACGCACGUAGACGCCGCGCUGGAAGCUCUCCGGACCCGGGUUCGAUUCCCGGCGCCUCCACCA
RNAcentral lists this transfer-messenger RNA (363 nucleotides) under Myxococcales bacterium. It matches the Rfam family "transfer-messenger RNA". From Rfam's summary of the family: Bacterial tmRNA, also known as 10Sa RNA or SsrA, is named for its dual tRNA and mRNA-like properties. Its role is to liberate the mRNA from a stalled ribosome. Lineage: Bacteria; Pseudomonadati; Myxococcota; Myxococcia; Myxococcales. The record is from RNAcentral. RNAcentral also lists the same sequence under 1 other name.